This 506-nucleotide ribosomal RNA is filed under the name uncultured bacterium. RNAcentral's name for it is "partial 16S ribosomal RNA". It matches the Rfam family "Bacterial small subunit ribosomal RNA", at positions 29 to 523 of the family's 1533-position model. The record is from RNAcentral.
AGUGAACGCUGGCGGUAGGCCUAACACACGCAAGUCGAACGGCAGCACAGGAGAGCUUGCUCUCUGGGUGGCGAGUGGCGGACGGGUGAGGAAUACAUCGGAAUCUACUCUGUCGUGGGGGAUAACGUAGGGAAACUUACGCUAAUACCGCAUACGACCUACGGGUGAAAGCAGGGGACCUUCGGGCCUUGCGCGAUUGAAUGAGCCGAUGUCGGAUUAGCUAGUUGGCGGGGUAAAGGCCCACCAAGGCGACGAUCCGUAGCUGGUCUGAGAGGAUAAUCAGCCACACUGGAACGGAGACACGGUCCAGACUCCUACGGGAGGCAGGAGUGGGGAAUAUUGGACAAGGGGCGCAAGCCUGUUCCAGCCAUACCGGGUGGGUGAAGAAGGCCUUCGGGUUGUAAAGCCCUUUUGUUGGGAAAGAAAUCCAGCUGGCUAAUACCCGGUUGGGAUGACGGUACCCAAAGAAUAAGCACCGGCUAACUUCGUGCCAGCCGCCGCCGUAA